RNAcentral lists this ribosomal RNA (254 nucleotides) under uncultured bacterium. RNAcentral's name for it is "partial 16S ribosomal RNA". It matches the Rfam family "Bacterial small subunit ribosomal RNA", at positions 524 to 776 of the family's 1533-position model. The record is from RNAcentral.
CACGUAGGCACCAAGCGUUGUCCGGAUUUAUUGGGCGUAAAGAGCUCGUAGGCGGUUCAGUAAGUCAGGUGUGAAAUCUUUGGGCUUAACCCAAAGCGUGCACUUGAUACUGCUGUGACUUGAGUUCGGUAGGGGAGUGGGUAAUUCCUAGUGUAGCGGUGAAAUGCGUAGAGAUCGGGAAGAACAUCGGUGGCGAAAGCGCUCUACUGGACGGUGACUGACACUCAGGGACGAAAGCUAGGGGAGCGAAUGGG